Aethalodelphis obliquidens (Pacific white-sided dolphin) is the source of this 2897-nucleotide long non-coding RNA. RefSeq lists it as uncharacterized. Lineage: Eukaryota; Metazoa; Chordata; Mammalia; Artiodactyla; Delphinidae. The record is from RefSeq and is a predicted model, not a curated record. The transcript is spliced from 2 exons.
CACCGCGGGUUGGUGGGGGGAGAAGGCAGGAGGAGAGCCUGGAAACUCUAACCCCCCCCUCCCCAGCCUAACUGGCCGUCUUGGGCCGAGAGAAGGUCACCUCUGCACCUCCCCCCAGCCUGUCCGGUUGUGGGGCCCCUAGCCCAGGCCUGGCCCUGACCGCCUGGGAAGCCGGCUGGCUGGGUGGGGCGCCUGGGUUAGUCAUCACUGGGCUCCCUCUCUCCCCACCUCUCGGCCAACUCUUGGCCCCUCCCCGUGGCCUCUGGCUAGGCUAUUGCCCCCACCUCCCUUCGGCUGUAGUUCCAGCCUCCAACUCAUUUGGCCUGUCAUCCUGGCUGUCAGACUGGGCUAGGAGCUGUCAGGGUGCCAAAGGGCUGAUGGAGCAGCUGGUCAGAGGGUCAGUGCCCUGGGCCCACCCCGCCCUGCAGCCAAGGGCACCUGCUUGGCACAGACUCUCAGCAGCAGCUGAGUCCUAUGGGCUGAACAGAGCCUGCUCAGACAGAGAGGAGUGGGAAGGAGUUGGACUGGUCACCUGGGAGAAGGAAGAUACCACAAAGUUCAUGCCUCCCAAGAGGGUUUUGUAAUUUGAAAACCUCCCACCCUAAUCUUUCUUACCCUCGGAGUAUAGAAAUCUCAAGGCAGGACCGCCUUGGCUCCUUAAACUGGCAUGGGCCAUGCCCUCGGACUAAGUGUCAGCACAGACCCACCCUCCCAAGCUCACAGCCCUCAAGUCUGCCACACCCCCAGCCCCCUCCCUGGGCCAUGCUGCAGGGCCCGGCUUUUCCUGCUGAUUCAUGCGUUGGAACUGUGGGGGCGGGGCUUGGAACUUGGAACAAAGUUCAGACAUGGAGGGGACGGCAGACAGCCUGGAAUUCAUACCAGAUGUACCCGGAAUGUGCAAGCGGAAUGCCUGGCAUUUAAGAGUCCUGGGGAAGCUGCCCAACCACCCUGCCCUACCUCCCUCCCCUCCAGCCUCUGGUCCCCUGUCUUCUCCUCACAGUCCCAGGAGCCUCUGCUGACCUUCUUCCAAACUCUAGACCUCCUCCCUUCCUCACUCUUCCCCAGAUGUAAGCCCCCCAAAACUCUUCUUCCAGCUGAACUCCCUGGGACCAAGUCAGUUGGGCUGAUCCCUGAACUCGCAUUUCUGGAUCUGAGGUACAGCUUCUCACCUAAUACCUGGCUGACUGGUGAGGUGUGUCCAGGCUCCCAAGUCCUGCCCUCUCAGUGCUGAGGAGGCUGGGGGCCGCUGUGGGUAGCUGGGGCAAGAGGGGGUGGUGGUGAGAGCAGAUAUGGGUUUCUACAGCCUUCAGUUCUGGAAAGAGGAGCAAGGAAAUAGGUUUAGAGCUGCCUCUUGUCUCUCACUGAGGAGCUCAGGUCAGAGCCAAGAACCCUUCAUUAGAAGGUUGACCAUCUUCUGGGGCUGCACUUUGAUGGCCAGGGCAACAGUGUCCCUGUGACAUGGCCCUGCUCAGAUCUUCCCCAUUUUUCCUUCCUUUCCCUUUAGGCACCUGUACCUCCCACAUCCUCACCUGGCUGAGCCGCAGUAGUUCUUCAGUGGCAAGCUUUAUGUCCUGACCCAGCUAAAGCUGCCAGUUGAAGAACUGUUGCCCUCUGCCCCUGGCUUCGAGGAGGAGGAGGAAGAAGAGAAGAAGCUGCCUUCCCCUCAUCUGGAAGGUGACAGAACUGGGUCUGGGAAGGUCUGAACAGCGAGCGUGAUGAUACCUUUGGGAAAGGGAACCCUAUUCAGCUGGAGAACCUUCACCCAGAUUGAGCCAGCAGGAGAGAAAAUUUCAGAUUAGAGACCUUGGCUGAAUUGGGGAAUAGAUGGCUCUGACUACACCCAAGUGUCUCCCUCCAGCCUUGGGUAUGUGGCUCUGCCAUCCUCACCCAUCAUGGAGCAGAAAUGAGGAAGAGCAGCCUGGGAACACAGAGGCAGGCAGAAGACUAGUGAAGGACCAGGCCUGGAGAGCACAGGGCCCUGUCUGGACAUCUGCUGAGGGGGGCCCAUAGAGGCCAGGAGAGCCCCAGGAGGAGGGAGAACGGCCAGCCUCCAUCGAGGACAAGCUUCCAGCCAUCUACUUCAUUCUCCGUUGCUCUCCAGUCGUUCUGCCUCCCUCAGAGAUGUGGGACCAUGUUAAAGCGUCCUUGGCUUCAUCCUGCUGCUUCCACCUCUCCCCACCAUGUAAUUUAGCUGUGAAAGGACAUAUGCAGAAAAUUCUUAAAAGAAAUUCAAAUGGAUUUGAAUGUGUGGGAAAAAAUGUGUGCUUCAUUAGUAAUUAAAGAGAGGCAAAUAUAGCUGAAAGCAUUUUUCCCGUAGCAAACUAUAACAGAAAAAAAAAUAAGACCCAGUUAUUGGCAAAGGAGUACUAAAAUAACACUCUCUACAUUGCAUAUGGGCGUACAAAUUGGUACAGCCUUACUGAUGUCAGUUUGGUAAUAUGUAUCAAACAUCCUAAAAGUUUCCAUGGCCUUUGACCUAGUAGUUCUACAUUUGGGAGUUUAUCCUAAGGAAAUAAUUAAAGAUUAGUUUAAACGAUGUUCAUCCCAGCACUGCAGUAGAGAAAAAUGAGAAGCAACUAUCUGGUUGGGAAUUGAUUCCUUUUCUGCUAUAAUUGAAAUUUGCAAGAGGGGGUUGCUUAAGUAAAUUAUUGUAUAUCCAUCCGGAUGGUGGGGUGGAGUGCUGCGCAGCCAUUAAAAGUCACAUAGAAGAACAUUUGACUGCAAAGAAAAAUGCUCCUUGAACAUUCAAAAGGUUAUAAAAAUGGUGUAUAUUAUGUGAUCUCAAUUUUGUUUUUAUACGUAAAACAGUCUGAAAAAGACUGACGACAUACUCCAAAUUGUUAAUAAUAGUAGUUACCUUUGAAUGAUGGAAUAAAAUAGUUGUAAUUUUUCUGUUU